ACUCCUACGGGAGGCAGCAGUGGGAAUAUUGCACAAUGGGCGCAAGCCUGAUGCAGCCAUGCCGCGUGUGUGAAGAAGGCCUUCGGGUUGUAAAGCACUUUCAGUUGUGAGGAAGGUGGUGUCGUUAAUAGCGGCAUUAUUUGACGUUAGCAACAGAAGAAGCACCGGCUAACUCCGUGCCAGCAGCCGCGGUAAUACGGAGGGGUUGAGCGUUGUUCGGAAUUACUGGGCGUAAAGCGCACGUAGGCGGAUCGGAAAGUUGGGGUGAAUACCGGGCGUCAACCCGACGGCAGCUCCAAAACUAUCGGUCUAGAGUUCGAGAGAGGUGAGUGGAAUUCCGAGUGUAGAGGUGAAAUUCGUAGAUAUUCGGAGGAACACCAGUGGCGAAGGCGGCUCACUGGCUCGAUACUGACGCUGAGGUGCGAAAGUGUGGGAGCAAACA
Molecule: ribosomal RNA, 442 nt
Filed under: uncultured bacterium
Lineage: Bacteria
Description: bacterial SSU rRNA
Rfam family: Bacterial small subunit ribosomal RNA
Source: RNAcentral